GCCGGGAUAGCUCAGUGGUAGAGCAGCGCUUUCGUAAAGCGCGGGUCGGGGGUUCGAGUCCCUCUCCCGGCUCCA
RNAcentral lists this transfer RNA (75 nucleotides) under Chloroflexota bacterium. RNAcentral's name for it is "Chloroflexi bacterium tRNA-Thr". It matches the Rfam family "tRNA". Rfam says of the family: Transfer RNA (tRNA) molecules are approximately 80 nucleotides in length. Lineage: Bacteria; Bacillati; Chloroflexota. The record is from RNAcentral. RNAcentral also lists the same sequence under 2 other names.